CCUACGGGCGGCAGCAGUGGGGGAUAUUGGACAAUGGGGGGAACCCUGAUCCAGCGACGCCGCGUGAGUGAAGAAGUAUUUCGGUAUGUAAAGCUCUGUCAGCAGGGAAGAAAGCAAUGACGGUACCUGACCAAGAAGCCCCGGCUAACUACGUGCCAGCAGCCGCGGUAAUACGUAGGGGGCAAGCGUUAGCCGGAAUUAUUGGGUUUAAGGGGUGCGUAGGCGGAAGGUUAAGUCAGCGGUAAAAUGUCGGUGCUCAACACCGGCCUGCCGUUGAAACUGGUCUUCUUGAGUGAGCGAGAGGUAUGCGGAAUGCGUGGUGUAGCGGUGAAAUGCAUAGAUAUCACGCAGAACUCCGAUUGCGAAGGCAGCAUACCGGCGCUCAACUGACGCUGAGGCACGAAAGCGUGGGGAUCGAACAGGAUUAGAUACCCUUGUAGUC
RNAcentral lists this ribosomal RNA (442 nucleotides) under uncultured bacterium. Its description in RNAcentral is "partial 16S ribosomal RNA". It matches the Rfam family "Bacterial small subunit ribosomal RNA", at positions 338 to 795 of the family's 1533-position model. The record is from RNAcentral.